This 452-nucleotide ribosomal RNA is filed under the name uncultured bacterium. Its description in RNAcentral is "bacterial SSU rRNA". It matches the Rfam family "Bacterial small subunit ribosomal RNA", at positions 326 to 793 of the family's 1533-position model. The record is from RNAcentral.
CUCUCUGUGACUCCUACGGGAGGCAGCAGUGGGGAAUAUUGCACAAUGGGCGCAAGCCUGAUGCAGCAACGCCGUGUGAGUGAAGAAGGUUUUCGGAUCGUAAAACUCUGUCCUAAGGGAAGAAACAAAUGACGGUACCUUAGGAGGAAGCCCCGGCUAACUACGUGCCAGCAGCCGCGGUAAUACGUAGGGGGCAAGCGUUAUCCGGAAUCACUGGGCGUAAAGGGUGCGUAGGCGGCUUAGCAAGCCAGGGGUGAAAGGCAUUGGCUCAACCAAUGUAAGCCUUUGGAACUGUUAGGCUUGAGUGCAGGAGAGGUAAGUGGAAUUCCUAGUGUAGAGGUGAAAUUCGUAGAUAUUAGGAGGAACACCAGUGGCGAAGGCGACUUACUGGACUGUAACUGACGCUGAUGCACGAAAGCGUGGGUAGCGAACAGGAUUAGAUACCCUGGUAG